GAAGGUAUAGCUCAGUGGCAGAGCGCGUGACUGGCGUGCACAAGGUCCUGAGUUCAAUCCCCAGUGCCUCCG
Camelus ferus (Wild Bactrian camel) is the source of this 72-nucleotide transfer RNA. It matches the Rfam family "tRNA". Rfam says of the family: Transfer RNA (tRNA) molecules are approximately 80 nucleotides in length. NCBI's taxonomy places the organism in Eukaryota, Metazoa, Chordata, Mammalia, Artiodactyla, Camelidae. The record is from Rfam.